This 626-nucleotide long non-coding RNA is filed under the name Solanum tuberosum (potato). RNAcentral's name for it is "long non-coding RNA (STUB_LNC002718)". Lineage: Eukaryota; Viridiplantae; Streptophyta; Magnoliopsida; Solanales; Solanaceae. The record is from RNAcentral.
UCUUUAUGUUUUUGAAUUUUUGGUUUUAAUUUUUCUGAAUCAAAGUUUUAGUGUUUGUAUAUGUAUUUAUGUAUUACGACUUUUGAAUUAUAUAAAUUUUUCGGCUAACAAUCUAAUAAUUAUAUUUUUUUCCAGGUUAACAUAAUAAAAAAGAUUGGUAGUUGGCCAAAAAAAAGUUAUAUAUAUUUUAAACAAAUCAUUAGACAUUCUGUUUCUUUAUUAUAUAUAUUAUAUAGUUCUAAUUUUAUUAAUGUGAACUUUUUGUGCAGGAUUUUUGUAGAAAGUGAGAUCUAUUAUUUACAACAAAUGCUUGGCUUGUAAAGAGAUGAUUCCAUAAAGUUUUGUUGCGGAAAUUAUUCAACAAGCUAAGGAAUUAAUUCGUUAGAGUAAUUUUAAUUUAGAUGGAUUUUGGAAUUGUUCUUCUUUUAUUUUUAAGCUGGAUAGAUUAGAAUUUUAUUUUACACAUAACAAAUUCUUUGAUUUAUUAUUUAAUUUGUUCAAAGUACUUGUAAUAUUAUUACUUUUUUCUUUAGUUUAGAUUUAAAAUGUGUUUACAUCACAUAUAUUCCAUGUUUGUAAAGUUUGGCAUUUAUGAAUAUACAAAUUGAAUAUGAAUAUUUGUGUUA